This is a long non-coding RNA of Ceratitis capitata (Mediterranean fruit fly), 614 nucleotides long. RefSeq lists it as uncharacterized. The transcript has 7 exons. The record is from RefSeq and is a predicted model, not a curated record. NCBI's taxonomy places the organism in Eukaryota, Metazoa, Arthropoda, Insecta, Diptera, Tephritidae.
CCUGUAGGCUUUCAAAGAAUUUACAACUUCAUCUACUGCUUUGCUUGAGAAGUUUUAAAUUCCAUCAAUUUUUAUUUUUCUUAUAUAUAGAAAAUAUUUUCAGAAUGUUAAUGAUUAAAGUAUACUUCUUAUUAUGUUUGCUUAAAAACAAUCAAAAUUGCAAAGAUGGUAGCGAAAAGGGUUGAUUUAGUUGUACCUUUACUGGUCUGGAAAAAUGGUUAAAUUCAGUUUUACUAUAAAGCUCGUACAACUUAUAAGAUUAAAAGUCGGGAAUUUUUAUCCUGGUGGCGAAGAAUGUGCCCUAAAAACUGGUAUUGUUUGGAGAUAACCUCAGAAUGUGGUUGAAUGUGACAAUGAGCUCAAAAUACAAACAUUGAUUCCAUAGUUGAUCAAAACUUACGACAGAAGGAGAUGUAAAAUCUGAUGUCAAAUGGGAAAGGAUAGGUGUUUGUGGUGCACUGAAAAAAUCAAAGACUAAUAAAAGCCAAAACCAUCCGGCUUAACCUUGAAAUAUAAAGUAAAUUUUCAUAUAAGGCAGACACGUACAUUGGAUUACAAAUUAUAAUUUUCUUUCAAUUAAAAAUUAAUAAAAAAAAAAAUUUAAAAAGUAAAAA